Molecule: ribosomal RNA, 663 nt
Filed under: uncultured cyanobacterium
Lineage: Bacteria; Bacillati; Cyanobacteriota
Description: bacterial SSU rRNA
Rfam family: Bacterial small subunit ribosomal RNA
Source: RNAcentral
CGGACGGGUGAGUAACGCGUGAGAAUCUGGCUUCAGGUCUGGGACAACCACUGGAAACGGUGGCUAAUACCGGAUGUGCCGAGAGGUGAAAGGUUAACUGCCUGAAGAUGAGCUCGCGUCUGAUUAGCUAGUUGGAAGUGUAAUGGACUCCCAAGGCGACGAUCAGUAGCUGGUCUGAGAGGACGAUCAGCCACACUGGGACUGAGACACGGCCCAGACUCCUACGGGAGGCAGCAGUGGGGAAUUUUCCGCAAUGGGCGAAAGCCUGACGGAGCAAUACCGCGUGAGGGAGGAAGGCUCUUGGGUCGUAAACCUCUUUUCUCAGGGAAGAACAAAAUGACGGUACCUGAGGAAUAAGCAUCGGCUAACUCCGUGCCAGCAGCCGCGGUAAUACGGAGGAUGCAAGCGUUAUCCGGAAUGAUUGGGCGUAAAGCGUCCGCAGGUGGCUAUGUAAGUCCGCUGUUAAAGAGUCUAGCUCAACUAGAUAAGAGCAGUGGAAACUACAAGGCUAGAGUACGUUCGGGGCAGAGGGAAUUCCUGGUGUAGCGGUGAAAUGCGUAGAGAUCAGGAAGAACACCGGUGGCGAAGGCGCUCUGCUAGGCCGUAACUGACACUGAGGGACGAAAGCUAGGGGAGCGAAUGGGAUUAGAUACCCCAGUAGUC